This 497-nucleotide ribosomal RNA is filed under the name uncultured bacterium. RNAcentral describes it as "partial 16S ribosomal RNA". It matches the Rfam family "Bacterial small subunit ribosomal RNA", at positions 28 to 507 of the family's 1533-position model. The record is from RNAcentral.
GAUGAACGCUGGCGGCGUGCCUAAUACAUGCAAGUCGAGCGAACGGACGAGAAGCUUGCUUCUCUGAUGUUAGCGGCGGACGGGUGAGUAACACGUGGAUAACCUACCUAUAAGACUGGGAUAACUUCGGGAAACCGGAGCUAAUACCGGAUAAUAUUUUGAACCGCAUGGUUCAAAAGUGAAAGACGGUCUUGCUGUCACUUAUAGAUGGAUCCGCGCUGCAUUAGCUAGUUGGUAAGGUAACGGCUUACCAAGGCAACGAUGCAUAGCCGACCGGAGAGGGUGAUCGGCCACACUGGAGCUGAGACACGGUCCAGACUCCUACGGGAGGCAGCAGUAGGGAAUCUUCCGCAAUAGUCGAAAGCCUGACGGAGCAACGCCGCGUGAGUGAUGAAGGUCUUCGGAUCGUAAAACUCUGUUAUUAGGGGAGAACAUAUGUGUAAGUAACUGUGCACAUCUUGACGGUACCUAAUCAGAAAGCCACGGCUAACUACGUG